ACCUCCCCCGCCCCCGCCAUCUUUUCCCUUGGAAACGGCCUCAGAGAUUCCGGAAGGUGCUUCCUUACUUCUGAGCGGCCUGUGUGGGAGGAAGCUGAGGACGUGAGGGUACUGACUGAGAGAGCAGCUCCACCUCAGAUCAUCAGGGAUUAGAUCCCAGAGGUUGGGAACCCCUGUCCUAGAGAACCUGCCUGCAAAGCCUAAAAUAUUUGCCAGCUGGCCCUUUACAGAGAAAGUUUGUGGAUACCUGCUUGGAUGCACAGUGCUUGGUUUGGAGCGUGGCGACAGACGGGCUGAGCUGAGAACUGGAUCUGUCGGAAGGACGGGCACACUCUCCCAGUUCAACAAUCUGCCUGCAGGAAUCUGAAAGUGACUCGGGAUAUCUUAACUCUUUGAGGAAGCGGGCUGCUUAACUUGGAGUCCCUGUGGGGUCACAGAGCUUGGGGAUUAUCUAUGUCACUGGAGGAGUUAUCUAGCUAGUGCCUCACCAUGCAUCUGCUGAGAAAGCAUUCAUCAUUCCUGCACAUGUGUCCUUCAGCACCUGUGUGUAUGUGUGUGUGCGGCUGUAUACCUGAAUUUACAUAAUCUGUGGGUUUUAAGUCUCCCAGCUACGAAAAUCAAGUGUUUAUCCUGCCUUUUCCACACAAACUCUCUCAAGGUUACCGCAUGGUUGAUGAAGGGAUGCAAGGCUCUAGCUACAAGCCAGCUGGCACGGUGGGGUGGGAAGAGCACUGCUCUGCGGUCUGUAAUGAAUGACUAGGUCCAGGCGCGACCCACCAGUGGCUGCCAACAUCACAAGAAGAGAUCAGACAUCAUACACCUCCUGAUGGAAGAAAUACAGGUGACAAGAGGAGCCUAUGCAAUGACCCCCAAGGGGAUGUAAUCAAUAAAUUCAGACUGUGGGAAGUGCUGUAGAAUAAAUGACCUGUUUCCUUAACAAAAAACUUCCCAGGAAAAGAAAAGAGAGGUGGAGAAUCUAUAAAUUAAGAGAGAUUUAUUAAGGGACAUAUCGACAAUGGCAAUGUAUACACCUUAUUUGCAUCCUGAUUCAAACACACUGGGAAAAUCUGAACACUGACUGAAUAUAAUAUUAAAGGACCAUUGUUAAAAA
Bubalus bubalis (water buffalo) is the source of this 1111-nucleotide long non-coding RNA. RefSeq lists it as uncharacterized. The transcript has 6 exons. The record is from RefSeq and is a predicted model, not a curated record. NCBI's taxonomy places the organism in Eukaryota, Metazoa, Chordata, Mammalia, Artiodactyla, Bovidae.